GCUGAGAGGGCUGCGUUAUGUAGGUUACUGCGAUAUAGUAAAUUGUAAAUUAUAUAAUUUCCUCAGUA
This 68-nucleotide transfer RNA is filed under the name Trichobilharzia regenti. RNAcentral describes it as "tRNA-Ile". Lineage: Eukaryota; Metazoa; Platyhelminthes; Trematoda; Strigeidida; Schistosomatidae. The record is from RNAcentral.